This 361-nucleotide long non-coding RNA is filed under the name Serinus canaria (Common canary). RNAcentral describes it as "lncRNA (ENSSCAG00000015201.1)". The record is from RNAcentral. Lineage: Eukaryota; Metazoa; Chordata; Aves; Passeriformes; Fringillidae.
UCAACACGAAGGAUUUCAUUUUAGCUGAGUACACGGUAUGGCAUCUUGAUUUUAUACUGGGUUCUGAUUUGGAGCCCUUCCACAGGUAGGACUGCAGUUUGGCAUUGCAUUAACCCGAAGGUGAGAAUCAUACCUGAUGCUGAAUUCUUCUUCCCAGCAUCUACUUUUGCCUCCCAAUCUGAUUUGAGUCAGGAGAGAGGCAGAAUCUCGCCAGGCAAUUCAGGUGCUGUGUUGAAAGAGAAGUAGGAAGAAUGCCUGAAAGGGAUCAACCAUUGCUUUUGUGAACAAAUACCAGCAAUUAAGCUAGACAUUUUUGCAUGGAGAGGGAAUAAAACUUGCGAAUUAUAGUACUUCUGCUUCA